GCCGAGGUGGCGGAAUUGGUAGACGCGCUAGAUUCAGGUUCUAGUGGCCGCAAGGCUGUGUGGGUUCAAGUCCCAUCUUCGGCACCA
Molecule: transfer RNA, 87 nt
Filed under: Trueperaceae bacterium
Lineage: Bacteria; Thermotogati; Deinococcota; Deinococci; Trueperales; Trueperaceae
Description: tRNA-Leu
Rfam family: tRNA
About the family: Transfer RNA (tRNA) molecules are approximately 80 nucleotides in length.
Source: RNAcentral